This 253-nucleotide ribosomal RNA is filed under the name uncultured bacterium. Its description in RNAcentral is "partial 16S ribosomal RNA". It matches the Rfam family "Bacterial small subunit ribosomal RNA", at positions 524 to 776 of the family's 1533-position model. The record is from RNAcentral.
UACGUAGGGCGCAAGCGUUAUCCGGAAUUAUUGGGCGUAAAGAGCUCGUAGGCGGUUUGUCGCGUCUGCCGUGAAAGUCCGGGGCUCAACUCCGGAUCUGCGGUGGGUACGGGCAGACUAGAGUGAUGUAGGGGAGACUGGAAUUCCUGGUGUAGCGGUGAAAUGCGCAGAUAUCAGGAGGAACACCGAUGGCGAAGGCAGGUCUCUGGGCAUUAACUUACGCUGAGGAGCGAAAGCAUGGGGAGCGAACAGG